RNAcentral lists this transfer RNA (77 nucleotides) under uncultured Spirochaetota bacterium. RNAcentral's name for it is "uncultured Spirochaetes bacterium tRNA-Ala". It matches the Rfam family "tRNA". Rfam says of the family: Transfer RNA (tRNA) molecules are approximately 80 nucleotides in length. Their secondary structure includes four short double-helical elements and three loops (D, anti-codon, and T loops). The record is from RNAcentral. Lineage: Bacteria; Pseudomonadati; Spirochaetota.
GGGGAUAUAGCUCAGUUGGCUAGAGCGGCGGCUUUGCAAGCCGUAGGUCGAGGGUUCGAGUCCCUUUAUCUCCACGA